This 1827-nucleotide ribosomal RNA is filed under the name Listeria monocytogenes. Its description in RNAcentral is "partial 23S ribosomal RNA". It matches the Rfam family "Bacterial large subunit ribosomal RNA", at positions 1 to 1837 of the family's 2925-position model. Lineage: Bacteria; Bacillati; Bacillota; Bacilli; Caryophanales; Listeriaceae. The record is from RNAcentral.
AGGUUAAGUGAAUAAGGGCGCACGGUGGAUGCCUUGGCACUAGGAGCCGAUGAAGGACGGGACUAACACCGAUAUGCUUUGGGGAGCUGUAAGUAAGCUAUGAUCCAGAGAUUUCCGAAUGGGGGAACCCAGCAUCUUUUAUAGGAUGUUACGUCUGCGUGAAUACAUAGCGCAGUCGAGGUAGACGCAGAGAACUGAAACAUCUAAGUACCUGCAGGAAGAGAAAGAAAAUUCGAUUCCCUGAGUAGCGGCGAGCGAAACGGGAAAAGCCCAAACCAACAAGCUUGCUUGUUGGGGUUGUAGGACUCCGAUAUGGUAGUCUAUUCAGAUAGUCGAAAUACUUGGAAAAGUAUGUCAAAGAGGGUAAAAACCCCGUAGGCGAAAUUUGGAUAACACCUAGGAGGAUCCUGAGUACGGCGGAACACGAGGAAUUCCGUCGGAAUCCGGGAGGACCAUCUCCCAAGGCUAAAUACUCCCUAGUGACCGAUAGUGAACCAGUACCGUGAGGGAAAGGUGAAAAGCACCCCGGAAGGGGAGUGAAAUAGAUCCUGAAACCGUGUGCCUACAACAAGUUAGAGCCCGUUAAUGGGUGAUAGCGUGCCUUUUGUAGAAUGAACCGGCGAGUUACGAUAGCAUGCGAGGUUAAGUUGAAGAGACGGAGCCGCAGCGAAAGCGAGUCUGAAUAGGGCGAAUGAGUAUGUUGUCGUAGACCCGAAACCAUGUGAUCUACCCAUGUCCAGGUUGAAGGUGCGGUAAAACGCACUGGAGGACCGAACCCACGUACGUUGAAAAGUGCGGGGAUGAGGUGUGGGUAGCGGAGAAAUUCCAAACGAACUUGGAGAUAGCUGGUUCUCUCCGAAAUAGCUUUAGGGCUAGCCUCGGAAUUGAGAAUGAUGGAGGUAGAGCACUGUUUGGACUAGGGGCCCAUCUCGGGUUACCGAAUUCAGAUAAACUCCGAAUGCCAUUCAUUCAUAUCCGGGAGUCAGACUGUGAGUGAUAAGAUCCAUAGUCGAAAGGGAAACAGCCCAGACCACCAGCUAAGGUCCCCAAAUAACUAUUAAGUGGAAAAGGAUGUGGGGUUGCACAGACAACUAGGAUGUUGGCUUAGAAGCAGCCACCAUUUAAAGAGUGCGUAAUAGCUCACUAGUCGAGUGACCCUGCGCCGAAAAUGUACCGGGGCUAAAUAGUUUACCGAAGCUGUGGAGUGCACCAUCAGGUGCAUUGGUAGGAGAGCGUUCUAAGGGCGUUGAAGGCAGAUCGUGAGGACUGCUGGAGCGCUUAGAAGUGAGAAUGCCGGUAUGAGUAGCGAAAGACAGGUGAGAAUCCUGUCCACCGAAUGACUAAGGUUUCCUGGGGAAGGCUCGUCCGCCCAGGGUUAGUCGGGACCUAAGCCGAGGCCGACAGGCGUAGGCGAUGGACAACAGGUUGAUAUUCCUGUACCCGUUGUUUUUGUUUGAGCAAUGGAGGGACGCAGGAGGCUAAGAAGUGCAGACUGAUGGAUAUGUCUGUUCAAGCAGUAAGUCUUGGUAGGAGUCAAAUGCUUCUACCUAUACGGACAAGCUGUGAUGAGGAGGGAAAUAAUAGUACCGAAGCUUCUGAUGUCACACUGCCAAGAAAAGCUUCUAGUGAGAAAACAACGGCCCGUACCGCAAACCGACACAGGUAGUCGAGGAGAGAAUCCUAAGGUGAGCGAGAGAACUCUCGUUAAGGAACUCGGCAAAAUGACCCCGUAACUUCGGGAGAAGGGGUGCUGCUCUAACGAGCAGCCGCAGUGAAUAGGCCCAAGCGACUGUUUAUCAAAAACACAGGUCUCUGCAAAAUCGAAAG